Molecule: ribosomal RNA, 253 nt
Filed under: uncultured bacterium
Lineage: Bacteria
Description: partial 16S ribosomal RNA
Rfam family: Bacterial small subunit ribosomal RNA
Source: RNAcentral
UACGAGGGGGGCUAGCGUUGCUCGGAAUCACUGGGCGUAAAGCGCACGUAGGCGGACUCUUAAGUCGGUGGUGAAAUCCUGGAGCUCAACUCCAGAACUGCCUUCGAUACUGGGAGUCUCGAGUCCGAGAGAGGUGAGUGGAACUGCGAGUGUAGAGGUGAAAUUCGUAGAUAUUCGCAAGAACACCAGUGGCGAAGGCGGCUCACUGGCUCGGUACUGACGCUGAGGUGCGAAAGCGUGGGGAGCAAACAGG